GCCUAGCCACAACACACAAUCAAACUACAAAUUGUUCGCCAAACAACUACGAGUAAUACUUAAAACUUAAAAGACUUGACGGUGCUUCACCCCGACCUAGAGGAGCCUGUCUAAUAACCGAUAACCCACGAUUAACCCAACCACUUCUUGCCCUACAGUCUAUAUACCGCCGUCGCCAGCUUACCUUGUAAAAGAAAUAAAGUGGGCUAAAUAGUAACACACUAAAACGACAGGUCGAGGUGUAACCCAUGAAGAGGCUAAGAUGGGCUACAUUCUCUAACAGAGAAUACGAACAGCACUAUGAAAUUAGUGUUCGAAGGCGGAUUUAGCAGUAAGAUAAGAAUAGAACACCUAACUGAAAAUAACGCAAUGAAGUGCGCACACACCGCCCGUCACCCCUGCCAUCACAAUAUUAAGCAUCAAUAAACUAACCAAAUAAACCAACCAGGGCAAGUCGUAACAUGGUAGGUGUACUGGAAAGUGUACCUAGAAA
Molecule: ribosomal RNA, 493 nt
Filed under: Trimeresurus albolabris (white-lipped tree viper)
Lineage: Eukaryota; Metazoa; Chordata; Lepidosauria; Squamata; Viperidae
Description: partial 12S ribosomal RNA
Rfam family: Bacterial small subunit ribosomal RNA
Source: RNAcentral